CCCUUAGAUGUUCUGGGCCGCACGCGCGCUACACUGAUGAAUUCAACGAGCUCCUAACCUAGGCCGAAGGGUCCGGGUAAUCUUUGAAAUUUCAUCGUGAUGGGGAUAGAUUAUUGCAAUUAUUAAUCUUCAACGAGGAAUUCCUAGUAAGCGCGAGUCAUCAGCUCGCGUUGAUUACGUCCCUGCCCUUUGUACACACCGCCCGUCGCUCCUACCGAUUGAAUGGUCCGGUGAAAUGUUCGGACCGCGACAAGGCGGACGGUUCGCUGUCAGCUUUGCUGCGGGAAGUUCAUUAAACCCUAUCAUUUAGAGGAAGGAGAAGUCGUAACA
Molecule: ribosomal RNA, 330 nt
Filed under: uncultured eukaryote
Lineage: Eukaryota
Description: partial 18S ribosomal RNA
Rfam family: Eukaryotic small subunit ribosomal RNA
Source: RNAcentral